CUUUUUUUUAAACAAAAUAAAUGAUGGGUAAUAUUAUAUCUCUAGGCUAACUGAAGUAUUGAAGCUCCCUUUAUGAGUUUCCUUAUGAAUGCAAUCCAAUAUGGCGGAAAUGGUUUUAACGUCAAAUAAAACGCACAUCAACUGUUGAGAGCAGUGGCUCAAACCAAGUCGACAAAGAAGGAAGACACGCUGUCUACACCAAACUGCAGGAAGUCUUACCGGAGUCUGCAGCACAGAUGCAGGGACAUCACGCCGCACUUUCUUGGAUUUGGCACAGUACAACUCCAAAUGCUGGAGGUCACAUCCACGCACACAACACUGGUCUACAAUGCCUUUCCCACGAGAGCGAGGACCACCGCUACGAGCUGCUCCAGGUUUGCCUGAUCAUCAACAGACAAAUUGAAGUUUUAAUGUAUAAGAAUUAGAUGCAACAUUCAUAGUCCCAAUGUGGGAUCUUGCUGGACGACAAAUGAUGCCAUCUAUUCUUAAAAAUAAUUAGAUUACAUCAAAUUACCAUAAGUAAACAAUAAAGGUUAACAAUUUCAAAAACAGA
RNAcentral lists this long non-coding RNA (553 nucleotides) under Danio rerio (zebrafish). RNAcentral describes it as "si:ch211-229n2.9 (ENSDARG00000097858.3)". The record is from RNAcentral. Lineage: Eukaryota; Metazoa; Chordata; Actinopteri; Cypriniformes; Danionidae.